This 253-nucleotide ribosomal RNA is filed under the name uncultured bacterium. RNAcentral's name for it is "partial 16S ribosomal RNA". It matches the Rfam family "Bacterial small subunit ribosomal RNA", at positions 524 to 776 of the family's 1533-position model. The record is from RNAcentral.
UACGGAGGGUGCAAGCGUUAUCCGGAUUCACUGGGUUUAAAGGGUGUGUAGGCGGGCAAUUAAGUCAGUGGUGAAAUCUCCGGGCUCAACCUGGAAACUGCCAUUGAUACUAUUUGUCUUGAAUAUUGUUGAGGUGGGCGGAAUAUGUCAUGUAGCGGUGAAAUGCUUAGAUAUGACAUAGAACACCGAUUGCGAAGGCAGCUCACUAAACAAUGAUUGACGCUGAGGCACGAAAGCGUGGGGAUCAAACAGG